RNAcentral lists this long non-coding RNA (431 nucleotides) under Danio rerio (zebrafish). RNAcentral describes it as "lncRNA (ENSDARG00000117402.1)". The record is from RNAcentral. Lineage: Eukaryota; Metazoa; Chordata; Actinopteri; Cypriniformes; Danionidae.
CUUCAUUGUUGCUUUACUGUUUACUGGAAAUAUGCCAUUUUUGUCUUAGGUUCAUGCUACUGGAGACAAAAUUCCAGAAAGGUCCAUGCAGUGGAAAGGACUGCAUUUAGACAGUGGCAGCAAACCAGGAGUCGCAGAGAUGCUGUAAGCUCUAUUCAAAGCUUAAAAAACCAAAUCGAGGAGCUGAUGGAAGCCUCUCAUGGCCUGGAAAACGUUUCCAGACAAAUUCAAGAAAUUGUGACAAACACGGAGGGAGCAGCACAGAGAGUGAAUGUUAUGACAGUAUUAAAGGAGACUUUCAUGUGCUUAAUUUGCUGAGCAAUCAUGGAACAACCAGUCUUCACGACAUGCUGCAGGACUGUGGUGGGGUGCAAGAUUUGUUUGGAACAGUGGAGGGAAAAUUCGACCCAGUGCCCAAAAUGUAGAGCGGA